This 158-nucleotide ribosomal RNA is filed under the name uncultured Phialocephala. RNAcentral's name for it is "5.8S ribosomal RNA". It matches the Rfam family "5.8S ribosomal RNA". From Rfam's summary of the family: 5.8S ribosomal RNA (5.8S rRNA) is a component of the large subunit of the eukaryotic ribosome. It is transcribed by RNA polymerase I as part of the 45S precursor that also contains 18S and 28S rRNA. Functionally, it is thought that 5.8S rRNA may be involved in ribosome translocation. Lineage: Eukaryota; Fungi; Ascomycota; Leotiomycetes; Helotiales. The record is from RNAcentral.
AAACUUUCAACAACGGAUCUCUUGGUUCUGGCAUCGAUGAAGAACGCAGCGAAAUGCGAUAAGUAAUGUGAAUUGCAGAAUUCAGUGAAUCAUCGAAUCUUUGAACGCACAUUGCGCCCUGUGGUAUUCCGCAGGGCAUGCCUGUUCGUGCGUCAUUU